This 253-nucleotide ribosomal RNA is filed under the name uncultured bacterium. Its description in RNAcentral is "partial 16S ribosomal RNA". It matches the Rfam family "Bacterial small subunit ribosomal RNA", at positions 524 to 776 of the family's 1533-position model. The record is from RNAcentral.
UACGUAGGGGGCAAGCGUUGUCCGGAAUCAUUGGGCGUAAAGAGCGUGUAGGCGGCCCGAUAAGUCCGCUGUGAAAGUCCAGGGCUCAACCCUGGAAUGCCGGUGGAUACUGUCGGGCUCGAAUCCGGAAGAGGUGAGUGGAAUUCCUGGUGUAGCGGUGAAAUGCGCAGAUAUCAGGAAGAACACCAAUGGCGAAGGCAGCUCUCUGGGACGGUACUGACGCUGAGGUGCGAAAGCGUGGGGAGCAAACAGG